This 72-nucleotide transfer RNA is filed under the name Camelus bactrianus (Bactrian camel). It matches the Rfam family "tRNA". Rfam says of the family: Transfer RNA (tRNA) molecules are approximately 80 nucleotides in length. Their secondary structure includes four short double-helical elements and three loops (D, anti-codon, and T loops). RNAcentral also lists the same sequence under 2 other names. The record is from Rfam by way of RNAcentral. Lineage: Eukaryota; Metazoa; Chordata; Mammalia; Artiodactyla; Camelidae.
GCGGGUAUAGCUCAAUGGUAGAGCACAUGCUUAGCAUGCACAAAGUCCUGGGUUCAGUCCCCAGUACCUCCA